Molecule: ribosomal RNA, 403 nt
Filed under: uncultured bacterium
Lineage: Bacteria
Description: partial 16S ribosomal RNA
Rfam family: Bacterial small subunit ribosomal RNA
Source: RNAcentral
AUUGAACGCUGGCGGCAGGCCUAACACAUGCAAGUCGAGCGAGCGGCGGACGGGUGAGUAAUGUAUGGGGACUGCCCGAUAGAGGGGGAUAACUACUGGAAACGGUAGCUAAUACCGCAUACUAUCGGAUAACCCAUAUGGGAUUCGCUAGUAGGUGAGGUAAUGGCUCACCUAGGGGACGAUCCCUAGCUGGUCUGAGAGGAUGAGCAGCCACAGUGGGACGGAGACACGGCCCAGACUCCUACGGAGGCAGCAGUGGGGAAGAUUGCACAAUGGGCGCAAGCCUGAUGCAGCCAUGCCGCGGGUAUGAAGAAGGCCCUAGGGUUGUAAAGUACUUUCAGUCGGGAGGCGUUACCGACAGAAGAAGCACCGGCUAACUCCGUGCCAGCAGCCGCGGUAAUUC